GACGGAGGAUGCAAGCGUUAUCCGGAAUGAUUGGGCGUAAAGCGUCCGCAGGUGGCAGUUCAAGUCUGCUGUCAAAGACCGGGGCUUAACUUCGGAAAGGCAGUGGAAACUGAACAGCUAGAGUAUGGUAGGGGCAGAGGGAAUUCCUGGUGUAGCGGUGAAAUGCGUAGAGAUCGUGAGGAAGACCAGUGGCGAAGGCGGGUCUCUGGACAGUUCCUGACACUGAGGCACGAAGGCCAGAAGAGCAAACGAA
This 253-nucleotide ribosomal RNA is filed under the name uncultured bacterium. RNAcentral's name for it is "partial 16S ribosomal RNA". It matches the Rfam family "Bacterial small subunit ribosomal RNA", at positions 524 to 776 of the family's 1533-position model. The record is from RNAcentral.